UCCAGGGUAGCCUGUGGACAUGGCAUCUGCCCAGUAAGCGGAACACUGUGGGUUCGAUUCCCAUCCCUGGAC
This 72-nucleotide transfer RNA is filed under the name Cordylochernes scorpioides. Its description in RNAcentral is "tRNA-Thr". It matches the Rfam family "tRNA". Rfam says of the family: Transfer RNA (tRNA) molecules are approximately 80 nucleotides in length. The record is from RNAcentral. Lineage: Eukaryota; Metazoa; Arthropoda; Arachnida; Pseudoscorpiones; Chernetidae.